This 367-nucleotide ribosomal RNA is filed under the name Metschnikowia reukaufii. RNAcentral's name for it is "partial 26S ribosomal RNA". It matches the Rfam family "Eukaryotic large subunit ribosomal RNA", at positions 132 to 508 of the family's 3401-position model. Lineage: Eukaryota; Fungi; Ascomycota; Pichiomycetes; Serinales; Metschnikowiaceae. The record is from RNAcentral.
UCCUUCGGGAAUUGUAUUCAGAAGGUGGGUUUGGUUAGGAAAAGUUACUUUAAGUCCAUUGGAAAAUGGCGCCAUGGAGGGUGAUAGCCCCGUAAAAGUAUCCCUUUUCCUUUUAUCCAUUCCCUCCAAAGAGUCGAGUUGUUUGGGAAUGCAGCUCUAAGUGGGUGGUAAAUUCCAUCUAAAGCUAAAUAUUGGCGAGAGACCGAUAGCGAACAAGUACAGUGAUGGAAAGAUGAAAAGCACUUUGAAAAGAGAGUGAAAAAGUACGUGAAAUUGUUGAAAGGUUUUUUGUUUUUCUUUUUUUACACAACCUCGGUUGGGCCAGCAUCGGAGUGGGGGGAGACAAAAAAGAAAAGGAAUGUAACUC